This 498-nucleotide ribosomal RNA is filed under the name uncultured bacterium. RNAcentral's name for it is "partial 16S ribosomal RNA". It matches the Rfam family "Bacterial small subunit ribosomal RNA", at positions 29 to 523 of the family's 1533-position model. The record is from RNAcentral.
AUUGAACGCUGGCGGCAUGCUUUACACAUGCAAGUCGAACGGCAGCGCGGGGCAACCUGGCGGCGAGUGGCGAACGGGUGAGUAAUAUAGCGGAACGUACCCAGAAGUGGGGGAUAACGUAGCGAAAGUUACGCUAAUACCGCAUACGAUCUACGGAUGAAAGUGGGGGACCUUCGGGCCUCAUGCUUGUGGAGCGGCCGAUAUCUGAUUAGCGAGUUGGUGCGGUAAAGGCUCACCAAGGCAACGAGCAGUAGCUGGUCUGAGAGGACGACCAGCAGCACUGGGACUGGAACACGGCCAAGCAUCCUACGGGAGGAAGCGGUGGGGAAUUUUAGACAAUGGGCGCACGCCUGAUCCAGCAAUGCCGCGUGAGUGAAGAGGGCCUGCGGGUUGUAAAGCUCUUUUGUCAGGGAAGAGACGGCUCGCGCUAAUAUCCUGGGCUAAUGACGGUACCUGAAAAAUAAGCACCGGCUAACUACGUGCCAGCAGCCGCCGUAA